CUCUUCACUUCGCUGAUUUUGGCGUUUUGCAUCGGAAUGAGGCUAUUGCUUCCCUGCAUGGAUUAACACAUACUAGGAGAUUUCAGCAGGACGAUGCACAUAUUUUCUGUAGGGAGUCCCAGAUAAUAGAUGAAGUCAUAAAAGCCUUGAACUUCAUGGAUUAUGUCUAUCAAAUAUUUGGUUUCACAUGAAGUGAAACUUUCAAUAAGGCCAGAGAAAAUCUUUAAAGAUCUUGAAAUGUGGGAGAAGGUUGAAAAUGAG
This is a long non-coding RNA of Cicer arietinum (chickpea), 261 nucleotides long. RefSeq lists it as uncharacterized. The record is from RefSeq and is a predicted model, not a curated record. Lineage: Eukaryota; Viridiplantae; Streptophyta; Magnoliopsida; Fabales; Fabaceae.